UGGCUCAGCGGUUAAGAGCACUGGCUGCUCUUCCAGAGGACCUGAGUUCAAUUCUCAG
Molecule: transfer RNA, 58 nt
Filed under: Neotoma lepida (desert woodrat)
Lineage: Eukaryota; Metazoa; Chordata; Mammalia; Rodentia; Cricetidae
Source: Rfam by way of RNAcentral